Molecule: non-coding RNA, 411 nt
Organism: Vicia faba (fava bean)
Lineage: Eukaryota; Viridiplantae; Streptophyta; Magnoliopsida; Fabales; Fabaceae
Source: the annotation of a GenBank genome assembly
AUGGCUUUAAGGCUCCCAUCUUCGCACAAGCUUGUUUCGGUUGAUUUCUCCAUUAAUAAUUUGUUUGAAUCUAGGUUUUCAUUUCAUGGACCUUAUCAUCAUCAAGCUACAAGGCUAUUCUUUUCUUCUCAAUGUCAAGUUGCAAGGUUUUAUGAGACGAAGCUAAAAAUCAGGGUUUAUACAUUUUCAUACUUGAGCUUGUCAGCAUUCUACCUGAGGUUCAUUCCAUAUCAAGGUAUUCGCAUGUCUCAUCUUUCAUAUUCAUCUGCAAAGAAUCCCUCAGGGCAUAGUCAUUAUCAUCUAUUGAGAAGGGGUCCAAGACGUCGUUAUUCUAGUGCUCAUAUAGUCGGGACAUGGUACAAGAUGUUGAUUGUGAUCAAGGUGUCAUUAUUUCAAAUGCUUGUUGCUUGA